UAAGGAAUAUUGGUCAAUGGACGCAAGUCUGAACCAGCCAUGCCGCGUGAAGGAUGAAGGUCAUCUGGAUUGUAAACUUCUUUUAUCUGGGACGAAAACGGGAUUUUUAUCUCAAUUGACGGUACCAGAGGAAUAAGCACCGGCUAACUCCGUGCCAGCAGCCGCGGUAAUACGGAGGGUGCGAGCGUUAUCCGGAUUUACUGGGUUUAAAGGGUGCGUAGGUGGGCUUAUAAGUCAGUGGUGAAAUCUCCGAGCUUAACUUGGAAACUGCCGUUGAUACUAUAGGUCUUGAAUUAUCUGGAGGUAAGCGGAAUAUGUCAUGUAGCGGUGAAAUGCUUAGAUAUGACAUAGAACACCAAUUGCGAAGGCAGCUUACUACAUAUAAAUUGACGCUGAGGCACGAAAGCGUGGGGAUCAAACA
Molecule: ribosomal RNA, 421 nt
Filed under: uncultured bacterium
Lineage: Bacteria
Description: bacterial SSU rRNA
Rfam family: Bacterial small subunit ribosomal RNA
Source: RNAcentral